RNAcentral lists this ribosomal RNA (406 nucleotides) under uncultured bacterium. RNAcentral describes it as "partial 16S ribosomal RNA". It matches the Rfam family "Bacterial small subunit ribosomal RNA", at positions 30 to 526 of the family's 1533-position model. The record is from RNAcentral.
AUUGAACGCUGGCGGCAGGCCUAUCACAUGCAAGUCGAACGAGUGGCGGAAGUGUGAGUAAUGUCUGGGACACUGCCUGAUGGAUGGGGAUAACUACUGGAACCGGUAGCUAAUACCGCAUACCAUCAGAUGUGCCACGCUGGGAUUAGCUUGUUGGUGGGGUAACGGCUCACCAAGUCGACGAUCCCUAGCUGGUCUGAGAGGAUGACCAGGCAAACGGGAACUGAGACACGGUCCAGACGCCUACGGGAGGCAGCAGUGGGGAAUAGUGCACAAUGGGCGAAAUCCUGAGGCAGCCAUGCCGCGUGUAUGAAGAAGGCCUGCGGGUUGUAAAGUACUUUCAGCUGGGAGGCGUUACCCGCAGAAGAAGCACCGGCUAACUCCGUGCCAGCAGCCGCGGUAAUUC